CCUACUUGCCCAAAGACAGCUGGGAUAGGCUCCAGCACCCCCUGCAACCCUAGUGAGGAUCAAGCGGCUCGGAAGAUGAAUGAAUAACACAGGGCGGCCCGGUAAUUGAGUGGUGAGCACGUCGACUUCACGGUGCAGAGGUUCACUUCCAUCUCCUGCCUUCCUCUGUGGAGUUUGCAUGUUCUCCCCGGGCCUGCAUGGGUUUUCUCCAGGUACUCCGGUUUCCCUCCACAUUCCAAAAAACAUGCAUGGUAGGCUGAUUGAACACUCUAAAUUGUCCCUAGGCGUGAGUGUGAACGCGGAUGGUUGUUCGUCUCUGUGUGCCCUGCGAUUGGCUGGCAACCGGUUCAGGGUGUCCCCCGCCUACUGCCCGAAGACGGCUGGGAUAGGCUCCAGCACCCCCCGCGACCCUGGUGAGGAUUAAGCGGUUCGGAAAA
Hippocampus zosterae (dwarf seahorse) is the source of this 437-nucleotide long non-coding RNA. RefSeq lists it as uncharacterized. The record is from RefSeq and is a predicted model, not a curated record. The transcript is spliced from 2 exons. NCBI's taxonomy places the organism in Eukaryota, Metazoa, Chordata, Actinopteri, Syngnathiformes, Syngnathidae.